GUGAGAAGACGGAGGAAGAGGCCCUGGCUGGGGCAAAUGAGGAGGAGGUGGGGCCGGGAACUGAGAAGGUGCAGGAGGAGGCUGCCUGCAUUGACGAGGCAGAGGAGGAGGCAGGCCCAUCCCUUGAAAAUGACGAGGAGUCCCCAGCCAGCGACCUGGUUGAGCAGGAAGACCAGCUUGCCCCCAAGGUAAGCUCACCUUUCUUGAUCGGAGAUUUAAAAAGGUGCCUCCUUUCUUCUUGGAUGUGCCUACUUCAGAAAAGGAAAUCUGAGCAAGUCCAUUAUAGAGGAUAUAUGCACAUUCCUCUGUGGAGGAAUGUUGAGUCAAAGUUUGGUACCAACCAAUAACUCCUUCCAAGGGGCAUUGGCAAAAGGGACCACAUCAGUUCCCAAGUGUACAUAGGGAGCAUUUGUCUUUGAAGAAGCCUGAAUGUUUUGUUUUGUUGUCUUUUUGCCUUUUCUAGGGCCACUCCUGUGGCAUAUGGAGGUUCCCAGGCUCAGGGUCAAACCAGAGCUGUAGCCACCGGCCUGCGCCAGAGCCACAGCAACGCGGGAUCCGAGCCACGUCUGCAACCUACACCUCAGCUCACGGCAAUGCCGGAUCCUUAACCCACUGAGCAAGGCCAGGGAUCGAACCCGCAACCUCAUGGUUCCUGGUCGGAUUCGUUAACCACUGCGCCACGACGGGAACUCCAAAGAAGCCUGAAUGUUUUUUAAAUGAACGUGGACUUGGGAGGUCUUCCAUGAAAAGCUGGUGCCUUUUCCACAGGUGUCUUUGCUGUCUUCUUUUGGGGAAACAGACUCAACUCUGCCUUCUGUCUGUGUGCCUGCGGUCCGCAACCACAGGAAGACCUGUGGCCACAGUGCAGAGGAUGCUGUGACACUCACAGUGUUUUCUUUUCUCUCAUCACAGGUGGACGGGAUGGACGAUGAAAGCCUAUGUUUCAUGGAGAGUCUGAGUGACAGCAACCAUGAUGAAAGUGAUACAGGUAAGAACAGCUCUCAGGUAGGAGCCAAUGGGAGAGGGAUCCCGGGACACUUGGGUGACGCCUGCUGCUUGGAGUGUGGG
This 1068-nucleotide long non-coding RNA is filed under the name Sus scrofa (pig). Its description in RNAcentral is "lncRNA (ENSSSCG00070002295.1)". The record is from RNAcentral. Lineage: Eukaryota; Metazoa; Chordata; Mammalia; Artiodactyla; Suidae.